RNAcentral lists this ribosomal RNA (450 nucleotides) under uncultured Bacillota bacterium. RNAcentral's name for it is "bacterial SSU rRNA". It matches the Rfam family "Bacterial small subunit ribosomal RNA", at positions 401 to 868 of the family's 1533-position model. Lineage: Bacteria; Bacillati; Bacillota. The record is from RNAcentral.
GUGGAGGAAGAAGGUCUUCGGAUUGUAAACUCCUGUCUUUAGGGACGAUAAUGACGGUACCUAAGGAGGAAGCUCCGGCUAACUACGUGCCAGCAGCCGCGGUAAUACGUAGGGAGCGAGCGUCGUCCGGAAUUACUGGGUGUAAAGGGAGCGUAGGCGGGGCGGUAAGUCAGGUGUGAAAUUUAUGGGCUUAACCCAUAACCUGCAUUUGAAACUGUCGCUCUUGAGUGAAGAAGAGGUUGGCGGAAUUCCUAGUGUAGCGGUGAAAUGCGUAGAUAUUAGGAGGAACACCAGUGGCGAAGGCGGCCAACUGGGCUUUUACUGACGCUGAGGCUCGAAAGCGUGGGGAGCAAACAGGAUUAGAUACCCUGGUAGUCCACGCUGUAAACGAUGAUUACUAGGUGUGGGGGGACUGACCCCUUCCGCGCCGGAGUUAACACAAUAAGUAAU